This 774-nucleotide ribosomal RNA is filed under the name uncultured bacterium. RNAcentral's name for it is "bacterial SSU rRNA". It matches the Rfam family "Bacterial small subunit ribosomal RNA", at positions 71 to 859 of the family's 1533-position model. The record is from RNAcentral.
AAGGCCCUUUCGGGGGUACUCGAGCGGCGAACGGGUGAGUAACACGUGAGUAAUCUGCCCCUGGCUUUGGGAUAGCCACCGGAAACGGUGAUUAAUACCGGAUAUAACCACUUUUCGCAUGGAUGGUGGUGGAAAGUUUUUCGGCCAGGGAUGUGCUCGCGGCCUAUCAGCUUGAUGGUGAGGUAAUGGCUCACCAUGGCUUCGACGGGUAGCCGGCCUGAGAGGGUGACCGGCCACACUGGGACUGAGACACGGCCCAGACUCCUACGGGAGGCAGCAGUGGGGAAUAUUGGACAAUGGGCGGAAGCCUGAUCCAGCAACGCCGCGUGAGGGAUGACGGCCUUCGGGUUGUAAACCUCUUUCAGCAGGGACGAAGCGCAAGUGACGGUACCUGCAGAAGAAGCACCGGCCAACUACGUGCCAGCAGCCGCGGUAAUACGUAGGGUGCGAGCGUUGUCCGGAAUUAUUGGGCGUAAAGGGCUCGUAGGCGGUUUGUCGCGUCGGGAGUGAAAACCAGGUGCUUAACACCUGGCUUGCUUUCGAUACGGGCAGACUAGAGGUAUUCAGGGGAGAACGGAAUUCCUGGUGUAGCGGUGAAAUGCGCAGAUAUCAGGAGGAACACCGGUGGCGAAGGCGGUUCUCUGGGAAUGACCUGACGCUGAGGAGCGAAAGUGUGGGGAGCGAACAGGAUUAGAUACCCUGGUAGUCCACACCGUAAACGUUGGGCGCUAGGUGUGGGGUCCAUUCCACGGAUUCCGUGCCGCAGCUAACGCA